GAAUAUAAUUAAUAUUGUAUUGAUCAAUUCAUCAAUUUAUCAUCAAUUCGUGAUAAAAGACAAAACAGUCUCAAAUUUAUUUGUGGGCAAAGGUGCAAAAAUACCCCUAAUAUUUAUACGGAUGUCCCACUUUCACCCUAAACUAAUUUUUUUUUUCCAAAAGUACCCUUAACGUUACAAAAUUCAGCCCAAUUAUGCCCCUCCCGUUAACAGACUUGCCACCGAGGCAAACGGAGCAGACACGUGGACAAAAUUUGCUGACGGAGCAAAAAUAAAUUAUUUUUUUUCUUUCUUCUCUCUCUUUCCUCUUCCAUUCUUCUCCCUUUUUCUCUCUCUCUUUGUUCUUUCUUCUUCCUCUGUUCUUCACCAAUCUCCAGCACCAGCAUAUGCAUAGUAGCAACAAACAGUCAUCGAACCACCAUGAACGCCGGUAGUUCACAGCAUAAACAUCACAGAAUUCGGCCAAUUAAACCAAAAAAAAUCGGCAGUAGCCCAGAAAAAUAAAUGCCAGAAGAUUCCAACCCCAUCGGCAAAACAGAUCUGGGUACUCUCAACAAACAGAGCAGUAAAAGACCCAAGAAAUGAAAUCAAAAAUCAUCCAUUCAGAAACACCCAUGAACAAAAUAGCGACAACAGUAAGUUUAUUGGGUGACCAUACAUGCUCUCAUCCACUGUGAAUUCCAAGGGUUUAGCCUCCAGUUCCUCACUACUACUGACUUCAUCCAUGACCUUUUCAACACUAUAUAAAUCACAAUAUGUAUAUAUAUGUAAUGCUAUCACGGAUUCAUCCACUCAAUCAUG
Molecule: long non-coding RNA, 801 nt
Filed under: Panax ginseng (ginseng)
Lineage: Eukaryota; Viridiplantae; Streptophyta; Magnoliopsida; Apiales; Araliaceae
Description: long non-coding RNA (PGIN_LNC012412)
Source: RNAcentral